This is a non-coding RNA of Phrynosoma platyrhinos (Desert horned lizard), 72 nucleotides long. NCBI's taxonomy places the organism in Eukaryota, Metazoa, Chordata, Lepidosauria, Squamata, Phrynosomatidae. The record is from the annotation of a GenBank genome assembly.
GCCAGUGUGGUGUAGUGGUUUGAGUAUCAGGCUGUGACUCUGUAGACAAGGGUUCAAAUCCCCACUUGGCCA